AGGAGAAGUCGUAACAAGGUUUCCGUAGGUGAACCUGCGGAAGGAUCAUUGUCGAACCCUGCAAGGCAGAACGACCCGUGAACACGUAAAUACAACCGGGUGAUGGGGAGAUGGAUCUUGGUUUUGAUCCUCAGCACCUUCCAGCGUGCCUGCAUGAUUUCUCUUUUGGGCUAUCAUGCUUGUAUUGUUGGACUUUAACCAAACCCCGGCACGGUAUGUGCCAAGGAAAACAAUAAACGAGAAGGACUCGACCUGUUAUGCCCCGUUUGUGGUGUGCAUUCUGAGCGUGUCCUCCUUUGAUUCACAAACGACUCUCGGCAACGGAUAUCUCGGCUCACGCAUCGAUGAAGAACGUAGCAAAAUGCGAUACUUGGUGUGAAUUGCAGAAUCCCGUGAACCAUCGAGUUUUUGAACGCAAGUUGCGCCCGAAGCCAUCCGGUUGAGGGCACGCCUGCCUGGGCGUCACGCAUCGCGUCGCUCCCGUCAUAGUUCCCUUAAGGGUAGUCGUGGUGAUUGGGAGCGGAAAUUGACCUCCCGUGCUUGUUGUGCGGUUGGUCAAAAUACGAGUCCCCUUCGGUGGACACACGGCUAGUGGUGGUUGUAAAGACCCUUUUCUUCUGCUGUGUGUCGUGAGCUGCUAGGGAAGCCCUCAAAAAAGACCCCAUUGUAUCGUCUUAGGAUGAUGCUUCGACCGCGACCCCAGGUCAGGCGGGA
Molecule: ribosomal RNA, 714 nt
Filed under: Taraxacum coreanum
Lineage: Eukaryota; Viridiplantae; Streptophyta; Magnoliopsida; Asterales; Asteraceae
Description: eukaryotic LSU rRNA
Rfam family: 5.8S ribosomal RNA (bases 310-465)
Source: RNAcentral